CUCUCCUUUGAGCUGCUCAAGCUGAUCACGGAUGGCCAGGGAAGGUUUCUCAUAGCUCUAUGCAUGAUCAAUGAUGUUAAGUACACAAUAGUGAACAUAUAUUGCCCCAACACACAACAAAGAAAUUUCCUCCACAAAGUCCUCUCAAAACUCGAACCCAUCAAAACUGAAUACACAAUGGUCUGCGGAGACUUAAACCACAUUUUAGACCAUACCUUAGACACGUCAUUGCUCA
Pelobates cultripes (western spadefoot toad) is the source of this 235-nucleotide non-coding RNA. The record is from the annotation of a GenBank genome assembly. NCBI's taxonomy places the organism in Eukaryota, Metazoa, Chordata, Amphibia, Anura, Pelobatidae.